Long non-coding RNA from Rhipicephalus microplus (southern cattle tick), 1370 nucleotides. The record is from RefSeq and is a predicted model, not a curated record. Lineage: Eukaryota; Metazoa; Arthropoda; Arachnida; Ixodida; Ixodidae.
AGUGGAGGGAGCGCUCUUCAAGUGAAGCCAGCGCCGCCAUGUUGUGGUGGGCAGAAAGCUCGGCUCGGCUGGCUCGGUGGCGGCCAGCGCUGCCAGUUCACCUGCAGCGACGGUGGAUUGCGGUUCGUGCGCCUGUCUUUCCUUGACAAGUGUGUCUCUGCAGUGCAUUCGAAUGCGUGCGGCUCGAUUCAAGCGAGCAUGGUACAAUCCUGCGUAGCGUAUGGGUGCACAAAUCGCGCGAUUCCUGCUUCCAAGAUCACAUUUCACAGGUUUCCAAAAGAUGCUGAGACACGGAACCUAUGGGAGCGAGCUGUGCGUCGUGAACACUGGAAACCGACAGAUAAAGAUCGCCUUUGCUCUGCGCACUUUGAUCCGGCGUGUUUUGACCGGACCGGACAAACAACAAGGUUGAAAGCGGGAAGUGUGCCGACUUCGUUCGCUGCUUUUCCUGCCCACCUCCAGGCACCGGUAAGCAUCGGAACUUCGCAGAUAUAGUGCUCUGACAUCAAGGAGGUUGGAAUGACGUAGACAUAUCUCUUCUGUCGUGUUUUGUCGACGUGACUGCAUUGCUGCGUGUUUCCUCGCGAGCUUUUCGUCCCGUUCGCUCGUUUACAAUAUCGCUCAACACACGAUUAGCGCAUGAUCAUUGUCGAAUGUUCCCGAACAUGCUUUCGUGAAUACAUAUAUUCAUGUUAUGAGCAAUAAUUGAAGUAUAUAUAUCAUUCUAAAAGUAGUUAAUUUCCACUAUGUGCUUAUUUCAGGUGAAAAGGAAGCGGCCAGCACCAAAACCUCGAGGAUGCAGUCCUGCUCAGCAGCAAGAGGCCUUAAAUACUGAAGAUCAUGUCACUGUAUCACCAUCAAAGCAGUGGUACAAGACGAAGUUGCAGGAAACAGAAGACGAAAGAUUGCACUUGAAGAAAAAAAUUAAAACGUUGCAGCAGAGCAAACGAAGGCUGACACAAAAGAAAAUCACCGCUGAAGAAAUUAUUAGAGGCAUCGAAGAACAAAAGCUUUUGUCAGAAGAGGGCUCCAAGAUGUUCGAUGCAGCAUUUUCUCCUGACAUACAACAGCUGCUUCACCGGGCACGGACAGAAAGUGGAGGUAAAUACCCUCCAGAGCUGCGAACGUUUGCACUAACUUUACAUUUCUACUCACCAGCAGCCUACGAAUUUGUGCGAUCAAAGUUUAAUGACGCCCUCCCUUCGCAGCGCACAAUCAGAGAAUGGUAUAGGUCUGUUGAUGGCCAACCAGGCUUUACAGGUGAAGCAUUUUCUUUCUUGGAGAAGUUGGUUCAAGGUCGCUCUGAAACUCUUUACUGCGCUCUGAUUGUCGAUGAUAUGUCGAUUAGGAAACAUGUUGAACUUGUCGGA